Long non-coding RNA from Etheostoma spectabile (orangethroat darter), 99 nucleotides. RefSeq lists it as uncharacterized. NCBI's taxonomy places the organism in Eukaryota, Metazoa, Chordata, Actinopteri, Perciformes, Percidae. The record is from RefSeq and is a predicted model, not a curated record. The transcript is spliced from 3 exons.
GAUGUAUAUGAUCAAAGAUCGAUUUUGAAUCGAAUCUUGAGCCUCAAAGUUGAUAUUGAAUCGAAUGGUGACAAUUUCUGAGUCAUUCAUUAUUUGCUG